CCUACGGGAGGCAGCAGUAGGGAAUAUUGGGCAAUGGGCGAAAGCCUGACCCAGCGACGCCGCGUGAGGGAUGAAGGUCUUCGGAUUGUAAACCUCUUUCAGUAGGGAAGAAGCGAAAGUGACGGUACCUAAAGAAGGAGCACCGGCUAACUAUGUGCCAGCAGCCGCGGUAAU
RNAcentral lists this ribosomal RNA (174 nucleotides) under uncultured bacterium. RNAcentral describes it as "partial 16S ribosomal RNA". It matches the Rfam family "Bacterial small subunit ribosomal RNA", at positions 338 to 524 of the family's 1533-position model. The record is from RNAcentral.